Long non-coding RNA from Xiphias gladius (swordfish), 815 nucleotides. RefSeq lists it as uncharacterized. Lineage: Eukaryota; Metazoa; Chordata; Actinopteri; Istiophoriformes; Xiphiidae. The record is from RefSeq and is a predicted model, not a curated record. The transcript is spliced from 5 exons.
CAAUGACUGACGUCUCUCUGCGUGUCUUCUAACCAAUCAGUUCAAAGCCUUCUGACCGUUUAGUGAAGUUCAACGUAAACGUUAGCGCCGAAACGUCGUACGAGGACCGCGACACACUGGGAGCAGGAGGAGAGUGAUGUACAGGAUCUUCAUGGACAUUUUGAACGAUGGACUGGCUUGUUGGCUGGUUGACUGAUCGGGCUGCAGCUACAGAAGACCAAUGUUUGGAUAUCUAUUUAUUUGUUUAGUUCUGCCUGGAUGCCAUUUUCUGAGUGAAACACGAGUUUGGAAAGAAACAUCACAAGCAGAAGGUAAUGAUAAGACAACAAGUGACGUAUGAUACGAAUCAGAAUGAAAACGCUUCAACCCCAUCAGUAGCUGGAUCUUCAGUACUGAUGCGGUUGAUGUAAGCAGCUCCAGAGAAUCAGAGAAAGAGGCCGGAAGGACUUCUGAAGCAGUGUUUUGAUCCUCAGCAACACAGAAACUCUCCACCGAAACCAGACUGAUGAAAGUCGGUGAAGGUUCACAACAUGCAGACACCAUCUACCGCACACGCCAUCGGUCUGUGUAACCAAGAGACAGCAAUAGUAUGACCAUAGGUCAGUGUUUAUCACAGCCUUGUCACCAUCUAGUGGGGAAAACAAAUCCUGCAGCCAAAUUGUCUUUGUACAGAUGUAGCCAAGGCUGGAUAACCAACUGACUGGGCAAAGCAGGAAACUGCCCUGGGACCCCAGACCCACAGGGGUACCUUAAGUUCCAGGUUUUAAAACAUGCCAAACUUUCCAAAAAAAAAACCAUUAUACAAAACACAUUCG